UUUCUUGUGGGAUUUGGGGCUGUGGCUUACAUUCUGGCAUCUCAGUUUCUCAGUUGUAUGGUACUGGACACCCAAAGGAAACUUAAGGAAGGGCGCUCAUGCAGCAGUGUGGAAGAAUCGGAUUGGUUAAAGUACCACUCUAAAAGACAUCACCAGACAAAGGCAGGUGAGGCAUGAGACGCUGCUGACGUCCUUUGGCUUCCUGUUCAUGAGGCUGUGCUUGGCAUCCUCGGAUUUAGGCACAGUGUGAAUUUUCUUAGACUUCACCCUCCAGACCUCAUUUUGUUUCAUCAGCCCUUCCCUGCCUAUCAGAAAUUUGGUGUCUCUUUCCUCCCUGUGGAUCCCAGUGCUGAGAAGCCAGCAGCAGUCAAGAGAAGUCACAAGAUUGUUUGUGUGUUGGUGGUGUUUUUAUGAAUGCAGGAAUUACCACAAUUGUAUGAAUAAUUCAUUCAUGAAAAUGAUGCUUGAAAAAGAAAAGUACUCUUCUAUUAUUCUUGG
This 498-nucleotide long non-coding RNA is filed under the name Zonotrichia albicollis (white-throated sparrow). RNAcentral's name for it is "lncRNA (ENSZALG00000011193.1)". Lineage: Eukaryota; Metazoa; Chordata; Aves; Passeriformes; Passerellidae. The record is from RNAcentral.